This 253-nucleotide ribosomal RNA is filed under the name uncultured bacterium. Its description in RNAcentral is "partial 16S ribosomal RNA". It matches the Rfam family "Bacterial small subunit ribosomal RNA", at positions 524 to 776 of the family's 1533-position model. The record is from RNAcentral.
GACGGAGGGGGCAAGCGUUGUCCGGACUCACUGGGCGUAAAGGGUGCGUAGGCGGCCAACUAAGUCAGACGUGAAAUCCCUCGGCUUAACCGGGGAACUGCGUCUGAUACUGGAUGGCUCGAGUUUGGGAGAGGGAUGCGGAAUUCCAGGUGUAGCGGUGAAAUGCGUAGAUAUCUGGAGGAACACCGGUGGCGAAGGCGGCAUCCUGGACCGGCAUUGACGCUGAGGCGCGAAAGCCAGGGGAGCAAACGGG